Molecule: ribosomal RNA, 759 nt
Filed under: Rhizophagus cf. intraradices HG-2010
Lineage: Eukaryota; Fungi; Glomeromycota; Glomeromycetes; Glomerales; Glomeraceae
Description: eukaryotic LSU rRNA
Rfam family: Eukaryotic large subunit ribosomal RNA
Source: RNAcentral
GCAUAUCAAUAAGCGGAGGAAAAGAAAAUAACAAUGAUUCCUCUAGUAACUGCGAGUGAAGAGGGAAAAGCUCAAAUUUUAAAUCUGUUAGGUUUACCUAACCGAGUUGUAAUUUGAAGAAGCGUUUUCUGCGAUUUUGGUUAGUCCAAAUCCUUUGGAAUAAGGUAUCAUGGAGGGUGAGAAUCCCGUUCGGUUAACCAAAGCGCUUUACGAUACGCUUUCAAAGAGUCAAGUUGUUUGGGAUUGCAGCUUAAAAUGGGAGGUAAAUUUCUCCUAAGGCUAAAUAUUGGCGAGAGACCGAUAGCGAACAAGUACCGUGAGGGAAAGAUGAAAAGAACUUUGAAAAGAGAGUUAAACAGUACGUGAAAUUGUUGAAAGGGAAACGAUUAAAGUCAGUCGUACCUACGAGUGAUCAACCUACUCGAGUGCGAUUUUGUGGGUAUGUUUGAGCUUAAAAACCUUCAUGCCUACAAAUUGGUGCUCUUUGGGCGUACUUUCUCGUAUGGUAGGUUAACAUCAAUUUCGAUCAUUAUAAAAUGACUGGAGGAAUGUAGCUUCGACCUCGGUUGAAGUGUUAUAGCCUUUGGUAGAUGUAAUGAUUGGGAUUGAGGAUUGCAACGGAUACCCUCUGGGCUAUUCGUCUGAUCUCUGGAAGUUACCUUGGUGUCGAAAGCGUGCUUACGAUAUUAAGGUUGACGGCCAAUAGGUUAGAACGUGAUUAAAUUCGUUAAGGAUGUUGACGUAAUGGCUUUAAACGAC